UAAGCGGAGGAAAAGAAACUAACAAGGAUUCCCCUAGUAACGGCGAGUGAAGCGGGAAGAGCUCAAAUUUGAAAUCUGGUAGCCUUCGGUUGCCCGAGUUGUAAUCUAGAGAAGUGUUUUCCGUGCCGGCCCAUGUACAAGUCCCUUGGAACAGGGCGUCAUAGAGGGUGAGAAUCCCGUCCUUGACAUGGACCCCCGGUGCUUUGUGAUACACUUUCAACGAGUCGAGUUGUUUGGGAAUGCAGCUCAAAAUGGGUGGUGAAUUCCAUCUAAAGCUAAAUAUUGGCGAGAGACCGAUAGCGAACAAGUACCGUGAGGGAAAGAUGAAAAGCACUUUGGAAAGAGAGUUAAACAGUACGUGAAAUUGUUGAAAGGGAAACGAUUGAAGUCAGUCAUGCUCUUGGGACUUACCUCCCUUGAGUGGGGUCAACAUCAGUUUUGAUCGAUGGAUAAAGGCACGGGGAAGGUAGCACUCUCGGGUGAACUUAUAGCCUCGCGUCAUAUACAUUGAUUGGGACUGAGGAACGCAGCAUGCCUUAUGGCCGGGAUUCGUCCACGUACAUGCUUAGGAUGAAGACAUAAUGGCUUUAAACGACCCGUCUUGA
RNAcentral lists this ribosomal RNA (605 nucleotides) under Naganishia albida. RNAcentral's name for it is "eukaryotic LSU rRNA". It matches the Rfam family "Eukaryotic large subunit ribosomal RNA", at positions 47 to 657 of the family's 3401-position model. Lineage: Eukaryota; Fungi; Basidiomycota; Tremellomycetes; Filobasidiales; Filobasidiaceae. The record is from RNAcentral.